UGGCCAGCCCAGGAAGAACAACACAUCGUCAUCCUCGAGGUUUCCCCAGUUAACACUCCAACAUAUGACGAAGCAAGAAUAUAAAAGGCUCCAGAACCGUCGCUCAUCAUCGCAACAACGCAGGAUGACCCUUCUUCAUCGGCCAUAGCUCCGACGAUUGUACCAACGAAUCUCUUCGACCCAACCAUAGGACACAUGAAAGAGGCACAAAAUACCUCUUCCAGUAGCCUCUUCUCUUCUGACCAGAGCGACACGGCCGAUGACGGAGAUAACAGCUUCCAGCAAGCAACAAAUCAACUCUCAGCUGACGCCAAGGCCAAACUCUGUUGGCGCAAAUUCAGGGCUAACUCAUGAGAGCACUAGCGCGUGCAGCAAGAAGGAGCGCGCGUUGCAGCGCCACCGCUCAGAUCCGGUCGGACCGGUUUGGGAGGUUGGUCAAACCGGUUUCGCCGAGAGUCCGGCGAGGAUCCGAUGAACGCCCGGGAGGGACCCCGUCAGGGCAAGCGCACACAGGUUGUUUUAGGGUCGGCAGGCCACCUAGAACGUGUUCAAAUACCGUCGAGACGAAGGAAGGACAUCAGAUUGGGGUUGGAGAAGCUAGCAUUUGAAAAGGGCAAAGUAAAGGAGAAAAGAUAAAAAUUGUAUUUUUGAUCGAUUGGAUACCCUCAAUUGGCUGUGGCCCUUUAUAUUUAUCCUAUUAUAAAGACUAUCCCUCAAUCGAUUGGGGAGGGAUAGUCUUAUCCUAUUAGGAGUUGAAUCUUAUGCAA
This is a long non-coding RNA of Panicum hallii, 767 nucleotides long. RefSeq lists it as uncharacterized. The transcript has 3 exons. The record is from RefSeq and is a predicted model, not a curated record. NCBI's taxonomy places the organism in Eukaryota, Viridiplantae, Streptophyta, Magnoliopsida, Poales, Poaceae.